GAUGAACGCUGGCGGCGUGCCUAAUACAUGCAAGUCGAGCGAAGAGACGAGGAGCUUGCUGCUCUGACGUUAGCGGCGGACGGGUGAGUAACAAGUGGAUAACCAACCUAUAAGACCGGGAGAACUACGGGAAACAGGAGUUAAUACCGCGUAAUAUACUGAACCGCAUGGUUCAAUAGUGAAAGACGGUUUUGCUGUCAGUUGUAGAUGGGCCCGCGCCGCAUUAGCUUGUUGGUGAGGUAAUGGCUUACCAAGGCAACGAUGCGUAGCCGACCUGAGAGGGGGAUCGGCCGCCCUAGAACGGCUGCGAGGUCGAGACGCCUCCGACAGGCGGCAGUAGGGAAUCAUCCGGAAUGGGCGGAGGCCGGCCGAAGCAACGCCGCGUGGUGAAUGAUGGUCUUCUGAUCGUUGAGCUCUGUUAUUAGCGGAGAACAAAUGUGUAAGUGUCUGUGCACGUCUUGACGGUACCUGAUCAGAAAGCGACGGCUAACUACGUG
Molecule: ribosomal RNA, 497 nt
Filed under: uncultured bacterium
Lineage: Bacteria
Description: partial 16S ribosomal RNA
Rfam family: Bacterial small subunit ribosomal RNA
Source: RNAcentral